RNAcentral lists this ribosomal RNA (253 nucleotides) under uncultured bacterium. Its description in RNAcentral is "partial 16S ribosomal RNA". It matches the Rfam family "Bacterial small subunit ribosomal RNA", at positions 524 to 776 of the family's 1533-position model. The record is from RNAcentral.
UACGUAGGGGGCUAGCGUUGUCCGGAAUCAUUGGGCGUAAAGAGCGUGUAGGCGGUCCGGUAAGUCCGCUGUAAAAGUCAAAGGCUCAACCUUUGAAUGUCAGUGGAUACUGCCGGGCUAGAGUCCGGAAGAGGCGAGUGGAACUCCUGGUGUAGCGGUGGAAUGCGCAGAUAUCAGGAAGAACACCAACGGCGAAGGCAGCUCGCUGGGACGGUACUGACGCUGAGACGCGAAAGCGUGGGGAGCGAACAGG